AGUAUCUUUUAUAUUUUAAUAAAGUAAAUUAAAUUCUAAGUAAAAAUGCUUAGAUUCUGUAAUGGGACGAUAAGACCCUAAAAGCUUAAACCAUUAUUGUUGAUUAAAUUUUGUAGUUAGAUUAAUUAGGUAAAAGUGGUAUUAGCUGGGGAAGCGGUUUUAUUUGAAUUGAAUUAAAUUAAUACUUUAGAUUUAGGAAAAAAGGUCUUUCAGAUGAGGAUAGAUAGAGAUAGUUACUUUAGGGAUAACAGCGUAAUAAUCUUGGGGAGUUCUUAUUGAUAAGAUUGUUUGCGACCUCGAUGUUGAAUUAAUAGGUCUUUGUGGGGCAGAAAUCACAUAAAGAGGGUUUGUUCAACCUUUAAAUUUUU
Molecule: ribosomal RNA, 368 nt
Filed under: Crymostygius thingvallensis
Lineage: Eukaryota; Metazoa; Arthropoda; Malacostraca; Amphipoda; Crymostygidae
Description: partial 16S ribosomal RNA
Rfam family: Bacterial large subunit ribosomal RNA (bases 244-368)
Source: RNAcentral